GGUAGCUCAGUGGGUAAAGCAUCUGCUUACAUGCAGAAGGUCCCAGGUUCAAUCCCCAGCAUCUCCA
Non-coding RNA from Podarcis lilfordi (Lilford's wall lizard), 67 nucleotides. Lineage: Eukaryota; Metazoa; Chordata; Lepidosauria; Squamata; Lacertidae. The record is from the annotation of a GenBank genome assembly.